CUUAUCAUUCUUGUGGGGGAUACAGAUUAUUUAUAAAAAUUGGUUGUGUUUCAGAUGAUCUCUUAGAUCCCACCAUAGAGAGUGGUAAUAAAAGUGUCCCAUUAGAUCCUGCCAGUGAAGAAAGGAGAGGAACGGUUUUGCCCUGUCUCUUGACUUGGGUUCGCCUGGGUGCAUGAUUUCACACAACCCAGAGCAGAGAGGCUCACAGGCGGGGCGAGACAGGCAAGCCCCGGUGCUUUUGUCUGGCUGUGCUGUGGUACAGUUGAGGCAAACCUACACUUUCACAGCAGGAUUUGCCAGGAGUUAAUAUUUUAUGCUGUAACUUGAAACACCUGUGUUGAAAUCAUAAGCAUUUUGGUGCCUGUAAUUCCAAAAGUAUAUGGUUCUAACCAACUGUAAAACUUCAGGUGAGGGUUGGACAACAAGGAGAUAAUUACUGGAUUCAACAAGAAGCAGGGUGUUAAGCCACUCAAAGGAAAAGUGGUUUUGACUUGGCAUCUUCCAAUUCACUACUUAGAAAUAACCUACUAGAAUUUGCAAGUCCAUUCUUAGAAAUAACCUACUGUGGGCAUAUAGAAAAAAAGUUUGGACUUUUGAUUUUCAGAACCCUUCAAAGGGUAUACAGGAUGCUGGUA
Molecule: long non-coding RNA, 635 nt
Filed under: Homo sapiens (human)
Lineage: Eukaryota; Metazoa; Chordata; Mammalia; Primates; Hominidae
Description: HSALNT0081806
Source: RNAcentral